UGGGGAAUCUUCCGCAAUGGACGAAAGUCUGACGGAGCAACGCCGCGUGAGUGAAGAAGGUUUUCGGAUCGUAAAACUCUGUUUUCAGGGACGAAUGUGCGAUAUGUGAAUAAUGUGUUGUAAUGACGGUACCUGACAAGAAAGCCACGGCUAACUACGUGCCAGCAGCCGCGGUAAUACGUAGGUGGCAAGCGUUGUCCGGAAUUAUUGGGCGUAAAGCGCGCGCAGGUGGGAUAAUAAGUCUGAUGUUAAAGUUCGGGGCUCAACCCCGUGAAGCAUUUGGAUACUGUUAUUCUUGAGUGCAGGAGAGGAAAGUGGAAUUCCUAGUGUAGCGGUGAAAUGCGUAGAUAUUAGGAGGAACACCAGUGGCGAAGGCGACUUUCUGGACUGUGUCUGACACUGAGGCGCGAAAGCCAGGGUAGUGAACGGGAUUAGAUACCCCGGUAAUCCUGGCCGUAAACGAUGGGUACUAGGUGUUGGGGGUAUCGACCCCUCCAGUGCCGGAGUUAACG
This 512-nucleotide ribosomal RNA is filed under the name uncultured Bacillota bacterium. RNAcentral's name for it is "bacterial SSU rRNA". It matches the Rfam family "Bacterial small subunit ribosomal RNA", at positions 355 to 857 of the family's 1533-position model. Lineage: Bacteria; Bacillati; Bacillota. The record is from RNAcentral.